RNAcentral lists this ribosomal RNA (451 nucleotides) under uncultured bacterium. RNAcentral's name for it is "partial 16S ribosomal RNA". It matches the Rfam family "Bacterial small subunit ribosomal RNA", at positions 354 to 796 of the family's 1533-position model. The record is from RNAcentral.
GUGGGGAAUAUUGGACAAUGGGGGGAACCCUGAUCCAGCCAUGCCGCGUGUGUGAAGAAGGCCUUUUGGUUGUAAAGCACUUUAAGCGAGGAGGAGGCUACCGAGAUUAAUACUCUUGGAUAGUGGACGUUACUCGCAGAAUAAGCACCGGCUAACUCUGUGCCAGCAGCCGCGGUAAUACAGAGGGUGCGAGCGUUAAUCGGAUUUACUGGGCGUAAAGCGUGCGUAGGCGGCUUUUUAAGUCGGAUGUGAAAUCCCCGAGCUUAACUUGGGAAGUGCAUUCGAUACUGGGAAGCUAGAGUAUGGGAGAGGAUGGUAGAAUUCCAGGUGUAGCGGUGAAAUGCGUAGAGAUCUGGAGGAAUACCGAUGGCGAAGGCAGCCAUCUGGCCUAAUACUGACGCUGAGGUACGAAAGCAUGGGGAGCAAACAGGAUUAGAAACCCCAGUAGUCC